Long non-coding RNA from Musa acuminata AAA Group (dessert banana), 1567 nucleotides. RefSeq lists it as uncharacterized. The record is from RefSeq and is a predicted model, not a curated record. NCBI's taxonomy places the organism in Eukaryota, Viridiplantae, Streptophyta, Magnoliopsida, Zingiberales, Musaceae. The transcript is spliced from 6 exons.
UUUAAACUUGCGAUGGGCAAAAUCAAACUUGCUUCGGUCUCCUACAUGGACAUCAAUAUCAAAAUUGUUAUAGGAGGCGCGCCAUCGGUGUUACUUCCCCCUUCCUCGUUGAUGGCGGCGGCCCCCUUCCCUCACUCGCGAUCUUCGUCGUAACAGAGCCGCGCUGCCACAGCUCCAACCGAAAUCGCCGACGCAGCAGCGGCGUUGGUUCGGACAUCGCCCUCUGAUUUCUCCCACCCCUCACCUAUCGUCGCUAGACCCUGAGAUUUUGGCAGCGGUCCAAACUUUUCUUCCUUUCCUCUAUCUCUAUCUCCGUCGACCUAGAAUUUUUUUCUACUUAGUUACUUCACCUCCUCCAUCUCCAUCGACGUAGGAAUUUUUUUCGCUGCCCUGGGUGGAAUUGCAGGUCGCCAGCUGCAUCAUUCGUCCAAUUUCUUGUCGCUGCCGCACCUCUUCUCGCCGCUCGUCAGGACCAAUGGGAACAGGGCGUACGUCAUCGAUACUUUGGCCUUCGUACGCCGCACUUGUUAUUUGAUGUUGGCUGGCUUACGAGAAACAUUGACGAUAAGGGUUUCGAGUUGCGCUAUAGGUGUUUGUGUUUAUGUAGGUGAGGAGGUUGGAGGCGCAACAGGUGCCCUCCAAGGGGAGGCUAUCACGUCAGUCAUCACGAUAGUUUGGAGAAUGUUGCCCAGUCCUAGCCUCGAAGCCGAAGAUGCAGAAGAGCUGCGAGGUGUUGACGAGGUACACCUUAGUUGCGUUGGUCUUGAGAGCUAUGAAGAGAGGUGCCACAGAAGUGAGAAAUUGGACUAAGUGUCACGAACGGUCGUCACGCACCUGAGCAUCAUUUUGCACUGUUACAACGAGAAUGAAAUGUUUCGGGUCGAUAUCGAGAAAAUGUGUAGCGAAUUGAGGGCACAGUUGGAGGCAACAAAAUAUGAUAUUAUAAACACCAUGUACCAAACGGUUGUAACGCAUAGCUGAAGUUUGUCAACUUUCUUAUAGAUGGUGACUCAAAUGAGGUUUAUGCUGAAGGGCCAGCUCGGCCAACUGGGGGUGAUGCUGCUAUUGCAAUGUUGAUUGGACCAAAUUCUCCAAUUUCUUUAGAGAGUCUAUACGGGGGAACUCACAUGGCUCAUGUUUGUGACUUUUGCAAGCCAAACCUUGCAAGCGAAUACCUGGUGUUGUUGAUGGGAAAGUAUCACAAACAUGCUAUCUCAUGGGACUUUGAUUUAUGCUACAAACGUUGCUGCAGCAAAUGAGUUCGAAUAUAUAUAUUGUCUAUAUUCGGAGGAGGGUCUUCUUUUAGUCGGGAGUUUGAAAAGGUAUGCAUGUAUCCUUUUGCAUUUCUUUUAGUCCUCGUGGCCAUCGUCGUUAUUUCCUCUCAUGUAUGCUCAUUCUUACUCUCGUUAAACUGUUCGGGCUUCUCACCAUCUUGGUAUGAUGCAAAAGUCCAACCAUCAUCUACUUCGUUGUUAAUAUGUACACAGCGUGUCUUUAUGCCACAUUCGCGUCUGUGAUUCAUAACAAACAUAGCACUCCGGGUGAUUUUGCUGUUUCCUUUCCUUCA